RNAcentral lists this ribosomal RNA (405 nucleotides) under uncultured bacterium. RNAcentral's name for it is "bacterial SSU rRNA". It matches the Rfam family "Bacterial small subunit ribosomal RNA", at positions 45 to 452 of the family's 1533-position model. The record is from RNAcentral.
GGCCUAACACAUGCAAGUCGAGCGGUAGAGAGAAGCUUGCUUCUCUUGAGAGCGGCGGACGGGUGAGUAAUGCCUAGGAAUCUGCCUGGUAGUGGGGGAUAACGUUCGGAAACGGACGCUAAUACCGCAUACGUCCUACGGGAGAAAGCAGGGGACCUUCGGGCCUUGCGCUAUCAGAUGAGCCUAGGUCGGAUUAGCUAGUUGGUGGGGUAAUGGCUCACCAAGGCGACGAUCCGUAACUGGUCUGAGAGGAUGAUCAGUCACACUGGAACUGAGACACGGUCCAGACUCCUACGGGAGGCAGCAGUGGGGAAUAUUGGACAAUGGGCGAAAGCCUGAUCCAGCCAUGCCGCGUGUGUGAAGAAGGUCUUCGGAUUGUAAAGCACUUUAAGUUGGGAGGAAGGG